This 111-nucleotide transfer RNA is filed under the name Candidatus Woesearchaeota archaeon. Its description in RNAcentral is "tRNA-Tyr". It matches the Rfam family "tRNA". From Rfam's summary of the family: Transfer RNA (tRNA) molecules are approximately 80 nucleotides in length. Their secondary structure includes four short double-helical elements and three loops (D, anti-codon, and T loops). Lineage: Archaea; Nanobdellati; Candidatus Woesearchaeota. The record is from RNAcentral.
CCCUGUGUAGCUCAACGGCAGAGCGUUCGGCUGUAGACCGAAAGGUUGCUGGUUCAAAAAUCAGAUGUAUAAUCUUAAAAUGCAUUUGUUUUGAAAGUCCGGCCACAGGGA